RNAcentral lists this ribosomal RNA (174 nucleotides) under uncultured bacterium. RNAcentral's name for it is "partial 16S ribosomal RNA". It matches the Rfam family "Bacterial small subunit ribosomal RNA", at positions 1319 to 1500 of the family's 1533-position model. The record is from RNAcentral.
CGUGAAGCUGGAUUCGCUAGUAAUCGCGCAUCAGCCAUGGCGCGGUGAAUACGUUCCCGGGCCUUGUACACACCGCCCGUCAAGCCAUGGAAGCCGGGGGUGCCUGAAGUGUGCAGCCGCAAGGAGCGCCCUAAGGUAAAACCGGUGACUGGGGCUAAGUCGUAACAAGGUACC